UACGUAGGAUCCAAGCGUUGUCCGGAUUUACUGGGCGUAAAGCGUGCGCAGGCGGCUUUGCAAGACAGAUGUGAAAUCCCCGGGCUCAACCUGGGAACUGCAUCUGUGACUGCAUGGCUAGAGUGCGGCAGAGGGGGAUGGAAUUCCGCGUGUAGCAGUGAAAUGCGUAGAUAUGCGGAGGAACACCGAUGGCGAAGGCAAUCCCCUGGGCCUGCACUGACGCUCAUGCACGAAAGCGUGGGGAGCAAACAGG
RNAcentral lists this ribosomal RNA (253 nucleotides) under uncultured bacterium. RNAcentral's name for it is "partial 16S ribosomal RNA". It matches the Rfam family "Bacterial small subunit ribosomal RNA", at positions 524 to 776 of the family's 1533-position model. The record is from RNAcentral.